UACGGAGGGUGCAAGCGUUAUUCGGAAUUAUUGGGCGUAAAGCGCGCGUAGGCGGUUUCGUAAGUCUGGUGUGAAAGCCCUCGACUCAAUCGAGGAAGUGCAUCGGAUACUGCGAGACUAGAGUACAGGAGGGGAGAACGGAAUUCCUGGUGUAGAGGUGAAAUUCGUAGAUAUCAGGAGGAACAACGGUGGCGAAGGCGGCCACCUGGACUGAUACUGACGCUGAGGUGCGAAAGCGUGGGGAGCAAACAGG
This 253-nucleotide ribosomal RNA is filed under the name uncultured bacterium. Its description in RNAcentral is "partial 16S ribosomal RNA". It matches the Rfam family "Bacterial small subunit ribosomal RNA", at positions 524 to 776 of the family's 1533-position model. The record is from RNAcentral.